UGCCUAUGUUUGGCUGCUGCAAGAGACCUU
Molecule: non-coding RNA, 30 nt
Filed under: Homo sapiens (human)
Lineage: Eukaryota; Metazoa; Chordata; Mammalia; Primates; Hominidae
Source: RNAcentral